AGCACUUGUGUUUUUGUUCCACUGGUGGACAAAGGCAGGGAAGACAGAUGCAAAAAUAAUACCUCUUUUGUAACUCAAUACUCAUUAUUCGGUAUAAAUUUUGAUACAUACAAAAAGGAAAACG
Microtus ochrogaster (prairie vole) is the source of this 124-nucleotide small nucleolar RNA. Ensembl annotates it as predicted gene, 25151. Lineage: Eukaryota; Metazoa; Chordata; Mammalia; Rodentia; Cricetidae. The record is from Ensembl.